GUUCGUCCUCGUAAGACGUUUCAGGCGGAGAACUGCUGAAAUCCAUGCAAAGCCAAAAAAUUAUAAAACCGAUGAACGACAGGAUUGAUCCUCCUACAAGGCACGAAAUAGCAAAUGGUUGCAACACAUCCAUGUGUGGUAUGUUUGACUUUUCAAUCGUUAGAGACAAGGUCACCAUGAUGAUGUUUUCUACCAGGAGGAAAAUAUACCCUAUGGUUAUCUCAGCUUGGGGAUGUUUGGUUGGAAUGACGGUUUUCGAAACGUGAAACAGAGACGGAAAGGCAUAAUAAGUCAAAUUUUU
Paramuricea clavata is the source of this 301-nucleotide non-coding RNA. The record is from the annotation of a GenBank genome assembly. NCBI's taxonomy places the organism in Eukaryota, Metazoa, Cnidaria, Anthozoa, Malacalcyonacea, Plexauridae.